AAAAAAAAAAAAAACACAAAGAAAGAGGGCGAGAAAAAAGAAAAAGGCGAGUACUUAGUCGUGUUCCUAGCAAAGACAUGGGGUGGGGGUUGUCCUGUGGAUAACUCUUGAGUCUUAGCUCUGUUUAUUUCUUAGAAAAUAACUUGUAUGUGGAAAACAUUUUCUGUAAAGAUAAAUUAUUUUCUACUGCUUCAUUAUGAUACUGAAAACCAACCGUAUAUUAGUUUGUGACAUUUGGAGUGCCUUGUAAGAAGUGAAAAUGUUUUAGCCUAUUUAACUCCGUAGUUUUUAUUUCUAUUUUUAUCUUUAGUUGAAUAAGAGUGAAAGUACAUUAAAAGGUGGUAAAUUUUGAUGGUCACUGUUAACUGGUGACAGCCGGCAGUGUUAGGUGGUGAUUAAUCAAAUAAUCGGUAUGUGUCUAUUUGAUUCCCUUAAAGAUUCCUUCUCUUUUUAUAAGUUUUUGAAAGUCCAAAAGCUUACUUCCCAAUUUGAAAAUGAGAAAUAGUUUUCCAUAUCACUCGGAAAGCAUUUUUCCAUUAACUAUUUUCCUAUGUACCAUAGAGCUAAACACUGGAAAAUUUAGAAAACUGUUCCCAUAAGAAUAUGUUCUGUGGAACAUAUGAAGGCUUACUCUUUGACAAUUUUGCUUGGAGUGGUUACUACAAGGCUAGAAUCUGUAACAUCUUGGUCACAAGCCUAAGAAUUCUAUUGUUAUACCUGAAACUGACCUUUAUUUCUAAUGUAUUUUUUGGGAACACAUUUUGUCAUUUUGUUUGCUUUGUGCUUGAUUUUAUAAGGAAAAAUGCUAAUGUAGUUUAGAGUGGAUGUUGAAUAUCUUUGAUUGGUUUGUUUCAGAGUCAUAAAUGCUGAUUACUUUUUUGGUUCCUUAUGAAUUCAAUAGGCAAUGUAAGGAUGUUUAGAUAUGAUUUAAUUGAUAAGCAUGAAUGAAUACUAUUUUUAUAAUUGGCAGCUUGAUUUAGUGGUCUGGAUUUCUGCAAGCCCAUGGCAGUAUAAGCCAUGGCUGUGACAGGCUUAAGUCCUGCACCUUAGAUAUUCUUCAUUUUGUUAAUUUGAGCUUGUUCUUACACCUCCAACUUUUAGAUUAGGGACAUGCAUAUUUUAUACUGCAAUCAUGCUUGAUGAGCUUUAACGGAAUGCUAUGCUAGCAUGUCAAUUUGAAAAGCUGGAUUCAGUGGAUUGGCUUAGGAUGGGGUUCUAUCAAAGUUGAAAAGGCAGAUCUGUUACAAAGUGAAUGAUGACAACCAGUAAGGUUUUAAAAGGAAAGCUAGGACAAUUUAUGUAAUCAAUGGUGACGCAGACAUUUCCAGUUUUAGUUGUGAGUUGGUUGUCACUUCUAAGGAUUUUAACAUUUAAGUCACUUGAGCAUUUUGCUCAUCAAGUUUGUGACAACAUGGAUCAUUAAGGUUGAAACAGCUUUAAAACUUUGGCUGUUCUACCAGGUUGUAAUCAAUUAAGCAUAAAAUUUAAAUGGUUAUUCUGGCUUUAAAGUGUUAGGUUAUCUCUUUGAUUUUAAGUAGUGAAAAGUGUUAAGUUGUGAUUAAUUACUUGGCUGACAAUGCAGAUGUUGUGUUCUGGGCAUAAUUUGGACUCUUAUUAGAAUUUAUGAGUUGAAAUAAACUGCUUUGAGAACUGUGGCACCAUGAAAUAUCCAGAUUGAUUGAACUCCUGAAAGUUAUCAAAUUUCAGAAAUGCAUUGAACUCUUAGCUCUAUAUACAAACCUUUUUCCAGUAUGCAACUUUUUUUCCUGAAUAUAGAUUAAGAAGGUUUACAAUUCAUGCUUCUAAUAUCUCCUAAUGAUUUGGUUUGUUCUCAGAUUACUGACUUGCUUGUUAAUAUCACAAAGCAUGUAUUAAAACCAAAGCAUGAGGUUAUGAGUGAGCGGGAAAAGCAAAAGCUCUUAAAAAAAUACAGUAUUGAAGAAAAGCAGGUUAGCUUUUAAACUCAAGGAAAGCUAUAAUAGUAGUUUCUUGGAAAAUAAUUCGUGUUUGCUUCCUUGAAUCCUUGUUAUGGUUCAAAUUGUUCUCUAUGGACAUUAGCAUCCAUUUAUUAAAUUGAAUGAAUUGAUGGAUGCAUUUAUCACUCUCCCUCACUUCUUCUGUUCUCAUGCCAGCAAGCUCUCAUUUUAUGUUGAUAUCAAAAAUAUUCAUCCAAUAUCUAUUUUAAGAGUAUAAGGUUUUUCUUUUUUGGCUUGAUUGAUUACCGUGAAGAUAAUAAAUUAAAGUUACCCAGCUAUUUUAUUAUAGAUUGCUCGUACUGAAAGUAUCUAUCAUCUAUCUAGAAUUAAGUUGUUAUCUUUGCUUUCAUUGUUCUUUCCCUUUCCAUCAAUAAGCAGGAAAAAAGAAAAAGAAAACAAACAGAAUGAAAGUGGAAGAACCUAAGAAGCCCUCUUCAAAAACUUUGUAGGAUUUUGUCGUUGCGGUCAUGCGGGUAUGCGGUCAUGCAUAAAUAUGAUAAUUAGCUAUAGCUACCUGAUAAGCGACAGUGAAACAAUUUAGUUGUACUGAAAAGGUACCUCCCAAAUUGCCUAAUCAAUAUUGAUAGUGGCACAAGUUCUGGUGUCAAGUAAUAGAGCACAAAUUGGAUGUAUAAUUAAUGACAAACAAAAUUCAAUCGUUACCAUACAACACGGUCGACACUUUGUGCUUUAUAUAAUUUUUAAUUUUUACUUGCAUUUUAGUAUGUGUAUAUGAGUGUUCAUGUUAUUAGUCAAAUGUUAAUAUUGUCAUUUUGAUAGCUUCCUCGACUAUUAAAGAAAGAUGCAAUCGUGAAGUAUUACGGGCUUGAGAAGGGACAGGUGGUGAAAGUUACACACACCGGCGACAUUACUGAGUCGCAUGUUACUUCCCGGUGUGUCUGGUAAUGAAUUGCCUUCGUAAUCUUUUUGUAUCAUCCUUUUCAUGUUGUAGAAUUGAUUGUAUUCUUAUUUCAUGUCAUUUUGGACUCUGCUUGAACUGGCUUGAGGAUUCCUAGUCCCAAUCUUGUACCUCACAAUGAAGGGCAGAGUUAGAAAUUUUUGGUUUUUUAAGGGGCUAAUGUUAUAUAUAAAAUUAAUUUGAAAUUUG
Molecule: unclassified non-coding RNA, 3084 nt
Filed under: Hevea brasiliensis (rubber tree)
Lineage: Eukaryota; Viridiplantae; Streptophyta; Magnoliopsida; Malpighiales; Euphorbiaceae
Source: RNAcentral